GGAAUAUUGGACAAUGGGGGCAACCAUGAUCCAGCCAUGCCGCGUGCGGGACUAAGGCCGUAUGGGUCGUAAACCGCUUUUGUUGGGUAGCAAUAAGGUGUACGUGUACACCGAUGAGAGUACCUGGCGAAUAAGCAUCGGCUAACUCCGUGCCAGCAGUCGCGGUAAUACGGAGGAUGCGAGCGUUAUCCGGAUUUAUUGGGUUUAAAGGGUGCGCAGGCGGAUUGGUAAGUCAGUGGUGAAAUACCCGCGCUCAACGUGGGCCGUGCCAUUGAUACUGCUGGUCUGGAGUACUGUUGCCGUGGGAGGAAUGGGUAGUGUAGCGGUGAAAUGCAUAGAUAUUACCCAGAACACCGAUUGCGAAGGCAUCUCACGAAGCAGUUACUGACGCUGAGGCACGAAAGCGUGGGGAUCGAACA
RNAcentral lists this ribosomal RNA (419 nucleotides) under uncultured bacterium. RNAcentral describes it as "bacterial SSU rRNA". It matches the Rfam family "Bacterial small subunit ribosomal RNA", at positions 358 to 774 of the family's 1533-position model. The record is from RNAcentral.